Rhodamnia argentea is the source of this 193-nucleotide long non-coding RNA. RefSeq lists it as uncharacterized. Lineage: Eukaryota; Viridiplantae; Streptophyta; Magnoliopsida; Myrtales; Myrtaceae. The record is from RefSeq and is a predicted model, not a curated record. The transcript is spliced from 3 exons.
AAAAGGGCUUGUCUUGCCAAAGAUAUGUCAAGUACUUUGAACGUGUUUUGACAUACUUCAAUGGAGAAAACCAGCAUGGGCAAAGGUAUGUUGUAAAUGUGCGAGAACUUGAAGAUUUUCUUAUCAACGAGUGCAUAGCUGAUAAAUAUUGGGCAGAAGCAAGGUGCUCUGCAAGAACUUCACGAUCUUAUUA